AUCGAUGAAGAACGCAGCGAAAUGCGAUAAGUAAUGCGAAUUGCAGAAUUCAGUGAGUCAUCGAAUCUUUGAACGCACAUUGCGCCCUUUAGUAUUCUGAAGGGCAUGCCUGUUCGAGCGUCAUUAUCACUAAUCAAGCCUGGCUUGCUGUUGGACCUCUGUCGUUAAAACCGACAGGCCCUAAAGAUAAUGACGGCGUUACUUGGACCCUAGAUGCAACGAGCUUUCAUUAGCACGCGUUUAGUCGGACCUUUUAACCCGGUCUUUUUAACCAAUUUUCUAAGGUUGACCUCGGAUCAGGUAGGAAUACCCGCUGAACUUAAGCAUAUCAAUAAGCGGAGGAAAAGAAACCAACAGGGAUUACCUCAGUAACGGCGAGUGAAGCGGUAAUAGCUCAAAUUUGAAAUCUGGCUCUUUCAGGGUCCGAGUUGUAAUUUGUAGAGGAUGUUUCGGGCACGGCUACGGUUUAAAUUUCUUGGAACAGAAUGUCAUAGAGGGUGAGAGUCCCGUCUUGAACCGAUUGCUUCGUCCAUGUGAAACUCCUUCGACGAGUCGAGUUGUUUGGGAAUGCAGCUCAAAAUGGGUGGUAAAUUUCAUCUAAAGCUAAAUAUUGGCCAGAGACCGAUAGCGCACAAGUAGAGUGAUCGAAAGAUGAAAAGCACUUUGAAAAGAGAGUUAAACAGUAUGUGAAAUUGUUGAAAGGGAAGCGCUUGUAAUCAGACUUGAGCUUAACAGUUCCCCCUUCGUUCUCGUUGGGUUAUUCUGUUUUGUCCAGGCCAACAUCAGUUCGGGUGGUUGGUUAAAGACUUUGGGAAUGUAUCUACCCUCCGGGGUCGACUUAUAGCCUAGAGUGUCAUGCAGCCUACCUGGACUGAGGAACGCGCUUCGGCUCGGAUGUUGGCGUAAUGGUUAUAAGCGACCCGUCUUGAAACACGG
Molecule: ribosomal RNA, 936 nt
Filed under: uncultured fungus
Lineage: Eukaryota; Fungi
Description: eukaryotic LSU rRNA
Rfam family: Eukaryotic large subunit ribosomal RNA (bases 287-936)
Source: RNAcentral